AGUCAGUUGCAAACUAGCAUCUGGGGCCCACACAACGAGUAUCUGAUUACUCCACAAACCAUUGCCCCGGGAAGGUCUGAGAAUCGGCCGAGCCAGCUGUUUGUUGCGGCUUCAUUUCCCAGCAGGAAACCUGUGUGAUUGCAGGGCGAAAGUACCAGAAAUCCUGCUACCAGGUGUUGCCGUUGCCCCCGGUGACCGCCGCCUGGUUGGCAUUGAAACCUUUCGUGGCCAGCGUUUUUAGUGCGAUGUGCUUGCUGCCUCUAAGGCAGAACUCAAUUCAGACUAAUCUGUGACUGACU
Non-coding RNA from Drosophila melanogaster (fruit fly), 299 nucleotides. The record is from Ensembl. Lineage: Eukaryota; Metazoa; Arthropoda; Insecta; Diptera; Drosophilidae.